UACGUAGGGGGCAAGCGUUAUCCGGAUUUACUGGGUGUAAAGGGAGCGUAGACGGAAUGUCAAGUCUGAAGUGAAAUCCCCGGGCUUAACCCGGGAACUGCUUUGGAAACUGGUAUUCUUGAGUGUCGGAGAGGUAAGCGGAAUUCCUGGUGUAGUAGUGAAAUGCGUAGAUAUCAGGAAGAACACCGGAGGCGAAGGCGGCUUACUGGACGAUAACUGACGUUGAGGCUCGAAAGCGUGGGGAGCAAAC
This 250-nucleotide ribosomal RNA is filed under the name uncultured prokaryote. RNAcentral describes it as "partial 16S ribosomal RNA". It matches the Rfam family "Bacterial small subunit ribosomal RNA", at positions 524 to 773 of the family's 1533-position model. The record is from RNAcentral.